RNAcentral lists this ribosomal RNA (3635 nucleotides) under Candidatus Veblenbacteria bacterium. Its description in RNAcentral is "23S ribosomal RNA". It matches the Rfam family "Bacterial large subunit ribosomal RNA". Lineage: Bacteria; Candidatus Vebleniibacteriota. The record is from RNAcentral.
GGUUAAACCAAUUAAGUGCAGAUGGUGGAUGCCUUGGUAUGGAAUGACGAUGAAGGACGUAGCAGCCUGCGAUAAGCCUCGGUGAGGUGGCAAGCAACCUUUGACCCGGGGAUUUCCGAAUGGGGUAACCCGGUCCGAUGGAAGAUCGGAUCAUCACAAUCUGAAUACAUAGGGUUGUGAAGGCAACCUGGGGAAGUGAAACAUCUCAGUACCCAGAGGAAGAGAAAACACCGAUACGUGGUUCUGUGACUAUCACCCGCGAAACGUUAGCGGGCGGUAGUAGCAGUGCCACAGAUUCCCGGAGUAGUGGCGAGCGAAACGGGAACAGCCCAAACUUAGGAGCGCUUGAACUGCGAUGCGUGCGUAUCUUUGAUAGGCACGAAGCGCGGUUUGACGGCUCAUUCGGCCAAUGUGUUUCUAAGCGUUGUAAGAGGGUAGCGUCCCAGGGGUGAAUGAACCCUGGGAGGAGAAUAAUGAAUCAAAACUUUCCUAGUCGAACGGCCUGGAACGGUCGGCCAGAGCAGGUGACAGCCCUGUAGGCGAAAGGAGUUUUGUGCUCCUAGUUACCAUUCUUGAGUACCACGGGACUCGUGAAAUCCAGUGGGAAUCCGGCGCGACUAUGCGUCAAGGCUAAAUACAUUCCAUAACCGAUAGUGAACUAGUACCGUGAGGGAAAGGUGAAAAGCACCCCGGUGAGGGGGAUGAAAUAGUACCUGAAACCAUCUGCUUACAAGGAGUCAGAGCGCUUACCACUUCAGCGUAGGUUUUUUGCUUACGGCCCUCGUGCCAGUCAGUUACCGUACCACCUGUAACACAGGGAGGCGGCUGAAUCUGGAACCGAGCUGUAGGCGAACCUGCGCUGAAGUGGUGCGUGAUGGCGUGCCUAUUGAAGAAUGAGCCAACGAGUUAGCUGGUAGUAGCGCGAUUAAGUCCUACGGGACGAAGUCAAAGUGAAAGCGAGGCUUAAAGGCCGUCCUGAGUUUGAAAAGUGGCUUGUUCCCCUCGUGGGAGCAUUCCGCUUUUCUUACUCAAACGCUGCUAUCACUAGACCCGAAACCGGGUGAGCUAGCCAUGGCCAGGGUGAAGCACGGGUAAUACCGUGUGGAGGCCCGAACCCACGCGUCGUGCAAAACGCGGGGAUGAGUUGUGGCUAGGGGAGAAAUUCCAAUCGAACUCGGUAAUAGCUGGUUCUCCUCGAAAUAGCUUUAGGGCUAGCCUGUUCUAUAUUUCCUGAUGGUAGAGCACUGAAUGGGUCUCCGUGGCGCAAGCCUAGGUGACCCAACCAAACUCCGAAUGUCAGGAAACUUAAGGAAUGGAGUCAGAGCGUGAGGGCUAAGCUUCACCGCUCAAAAGGGAAACAGCCCAUGAUCACCAAAUAAGGUCCCUAAAUUCCAGCUCAGUGUUAAAGGCGGUCUCGUCGCUUAAACAACCAGGAGGUUGGCUUAGAAGCAGCCACCCUUUAAAGAAAGCGUAACAGCUCACUGGUCUAGCGACUUGGCGCCGAAAAUGUACCGGGGCUUAAGCUGGAUACCGAAUUUGUGGGCCCUGUACCGUUACUGGUACAGGGCGGUAGAGGAGCGUUCUGAGCAGCUGUGAAGUCGGACCCGUGAGGGCCGGUGGAGCGCUCAGAAGUGCGAAUGUUGGCAUAAGUAGCAAAAAGACUAGUGAAAACCUAGUCCACCGUAAACCUAAGGUUUCCUGGGCAACGCAAAUCGACCCAGGGUGAGGCGGGCCUAAGGCGAGGCCGAAAGGCGUAGCCGAUGGACAGCAGGUUAAUAUUCCUGCCCCGCCGCAAGGUUCCAAUGGGGUGACGUCGUUGUGAAGGUUCUGCGCGAUUUGGUUAUGCGCGUGGCUUGAGUGGCCGUGCUCGGCAGGUAAAUCCGCCGAGCAUAAGCGGUUGCUUGGGACGCAGGGAAAGGGGCAACCCAGACCCAAUAGAACUGGAAUGACGGCCUAGAAAACCCCCUAGGGUUAACCUAGCGGCGACCGUACCGGAAACCGACACAGGUGGGUGAGGCGAGUAGCCUCAGGUGUACGAGAGAACCCUCGUUUAGGAACUCGGCAAUACAACGGCCGUAACUUCGGAAUAAGGCCUGCCCCGCGCAAGCGGGGCCGCAGUGAACGACGUCAACCGACUGUUUACCAAAAACACAGGUCCCUGCUAAGCCGUAAGGCGAUGUAUAGGGGCUGAUGCCUGGCCAGUGUCAGAACGUUAAGGUAAGAGGUCAUUCCGCCGCAAGGCGGAGGCAGCCUUGAACUGAAGCGCUGAUGAACGCCGGCGGUAACUAUAACCGUCCUAAGGUAGCGAAAUUCCUUGUCGGGUAAGUUCCGACCUGCACGAAUGGCAUAACGAGUUGACGACUGUCUCAACGAGGGACUCGGUGAAAUUGCAAGACCCGUGAAGAUGCGGGUUACCCACGGCUAGACGAAAAGACCCCGUGAAGCUUUACUACAGCUUGGUAUUGAGCGUUAGGAGUGCUUGCUCAGCAUAGGUGGGACGCUUUGAAGCCCUGACUCCGGUUGGGGUGGAGCGGAAAUAUGAGAUACCACCCUAGUGAUUUUAGCGUUCUAACCCCACGCCGUUAUCCGGCUGGGGGACAGUAUCUGGCAGGUAGUUUGACUGGGGCGGUCGCCUCCUAAAAUGUAACGGAGGCGUUUACUAAGGUUGGCUAGCUCCCGAUGGAAACGGGAGUGGUAGGGCAAACCCAUAAGCCAGCUUUACUGCAAGGGCGACAACCCGAGCAGUUGCGAAAGCAGAAGUUAGUGAUCCGACGAUCCAAUAUAGGAUGGUCGAAGCUCAACGGAUAAAAGUUACUCCGGGGAUAACAGGCUGAUCGGGUCCAAGAGUCCACAUCGACGACCCGGUUUGGCACCUUAACAUAUCGGGGUGCAUAAACAGUGAUGUUUAUCCAAUAUUUUCGUUUAAAUUGUUUUGUUAGUUUAGACAGGACCAAAGACCAUAAUCGGCUUAUAACGGUGAACCCGUCAUCCAUCAUCCGCCAACUGGCGGAGGUGGAUCGGCAACACCGUGGGAAGUCGUCCCGCUUAGCGGGAUUGACCCCGUAACGACUGACCCGAAAGGGGAGAUUUUCGUCCGCCCGGAAAGGCGGGUGGAGAUAAUACGCCGACACUUGCUACGCAAACACUGAGAUUACGCGGGUCACGUUCCGUCCCUUUGGCGGAAUCCGCUACCAUCCAGAGCAAGCAGAAGAUAUAGUCUACGCCACAUGAAAGUGUGGAAACGAGUACGAUGUCGGCUCAUCGCAUCCUGGGGCUGGAGAAGGUCCCAAGGGUUUGGCUGUUCGCCAAUUAAAGCGGUACGCGAGCUGGGUUCAGAACGUCGUGAGACAGUUCGGUCUCCUGUCUGUCGUGGGCGCUCGAAACUUGAGAAGGCUCUUCCCUAGUACGAGAGGACCGGGAAGAACGAACCUCUAGUGUACCAGUUGGUCUACCAAGGCCAUCGCUGGGUAGCUACGUUCGGCACGGAUAAACGCUGAAAGCAUCUAAGUGUGAAGCCGUCUUCAAGAUUAGGUUUCGUUAUAGGAACCAGGGAGAAUACCUGGUUGAUAGGUGGCAGGUGUAAGGCCCGCAAGGGUUUGAGCCGAGCCAUACUAAUCGUCCGAAGGUUUAACCAC